UAGGGAAUCUUCGGCAAUGGGGGCAACCCUGACCGAGCAACGCCGCGUGAGUGAAGAAGGUUUUCGGAUCGUAAAGCUCUGUUGUAAGAGAAGAACGAGUGUGAGAGUGGAAAGUUCACACUGUGACGGUAACUUACCAGAAAGGGACGGCUAACUACGUGCCAGCAGCCGCGGUAAUACGUAGGUCCCGAGCGUUAUCCGGAUUUAUUGGGCGUAAAGCGAGCGCAGGCGGUUAGAUAAGUCUGAAGUUAAAGGCUGUGGCUUAACCAUAGUACGCUUUGGAAACUGUUUAACUUGAGUGCAGAAGGGGAGAGUGGAAUUCCAUGUGUAGCGGUGAAAUGCGUAGAUAUAUGGAGGAACACCGGUGGCGAAAGCGGCUCUCUGGUCUGUAACUGACGCUGAGGCUCGAAAGCGUGGGGAGCAAACAGGAUUAGAUACCCUGGUAGUCCACGCCGUNNCGAUGAGUGCUAGGUGUUGGGUCCUUUCCGGGACUCAGUGCCGCAGCUAACGCAUUAAGCACUCCGCCUGGGGAGUACGACCGCAAGGUU
Molecule: ribosomal RNA, 548 nt
Filed under: uncultured bacterium
Lineage: Bacteria
Description: bacterial SSU rRNA
Rfam family: Bacterial small subunit ribosomal RNA
Source: RNAcentral